CUCGGCCGCCGGACCCCGAGCCCCAGGAGCGCCCGGGCAGCCGAGCGUAAUUGGAUUGUAUCCGGCCGCGCGCUGUCACCGUAUUGACUUUCGCGCUCGAGAUGAUAUUAUCGAGGUUCGGAAGCUCGCGGCUCAUGUGCCUGUCAAAAGGCUGCGGCGGGAGCCCCCGGCCUGGCGAGCGAGCAUCAGCCAAGGUCCUGGAGGAUACGUUGGAGUCUCUGGGUCUUCCCCUAGCUCUGUGAACACGUGACCCGGAAGGAGGCAGUGGGGACGCCCAGGACUGGAGAACUUCAAGGUUUAGGGGUGACACCGCUUCCUGCUUGGCAAAGAAAUUCAAGGUUUAGGGGUGACACCGCUUCCUGCUUGGCAAAGAAAUUCAAGGCUUAGGGGUGACGCCGCUUCUUGCUUGUCACUUGCAUACUGAAAAUUGGUUGUCUGCUCAGUGAGACAUGGGGGCCAUCCGAGGCCCCUGCGGUGUGGCACAGCCCCUGAGACCACUCCAGGGACCAUAGCAAGGGCCCUGGACACAGCAGGAUGCACCAGAUUCCCCGGCCAGAACAAGGGCUGAGCUUCGAGUGAAAGGCGGGGCCUGGACGUUGGCUGUGGUUUGCAGGGAGGACGGCAUGGCAGGCGUCCCACUCUGUGC
RNAcentral lists this long non-coding RNA (646 nucleotides) under Homo sapiens (human). RNAcentral's name for it is "HSALNT0083304". Lineage: Eukaryota; Metazoa; Chordata; Mammalia; Primates; Hominidae. The record is from RNAcentral.